Molecule: long non-coding RNA, 6327 nt
Filed under: Mytilus galloprovincialis (Mediterranean mussel)
Lineage: Eukaryota; Metazoa; Mollusca; Bivalvia; Mytilida; Mytilidae
Source: RNAcentral
GGUUCACUAGACGACGUUGUCAACACGUAAUGGCGGCCAUUAUUUGACGUCGGAUUUGGCAUUCCUCGUUGAAAGUUGCAUUUAUGACAUUCUUGGAUGCUUAAACUUUGUGCCACACAACAUAAAAGAUAAAGCUUUAUUCCAGAUAUUGCAGGUAAUUAUUUUCAAAGAAGUCGUAUCCCAAGAAAUGAUUUAAACGGCAAAAAUAAAGUGUAAAAUAAUAUGAAACAUGAAUAUUGAAAUCCAAGUUUUCAUCAUUUCCUUUUCAUGUAAUGAAUUUACUAUUUAUCACUUUUAUUAUUUUAUUACAUUCGGAUUUCGGUCUGGGGUAUCCGCCCUUGUCUCCGGAAAUAUUAUACCCACUGUCAACAUCCGUUUUCAAACUGGACAGACAAAAUUAAAAAAAGUGUUCUUCACGAUCUCCCUGGAAAUAAUUCACGCUAUCACUUUGUGAACAUUGUAAACAUGAAACUGCAAAUACGGACCAAAACGAAUCAAAUUUGAAAGCGUGGAUGAUGAUCAUGUUUCAUGCCGACUGUAAGUUCUCUAAAAAAGGGGGUGGGGUGGGUGGGUACUCCAUGAAUUUUGCUGCACGUCAAAGACGUCCAUGUACUAAAUCAUUAGAAUGUAAGACAUAUUCACUUUAACUCUUGGCUACUUUAUACCUGGUCUUAUAUAAAUAAAUUCCCAUUUUAUCUGGGAACAAUUAAUUUUAUCUUCAUUAUAAACUAACUAUCUAACUAAUUUUAUUCAGGAUAAAAUCCAGUACAAAAGGAUCAUCGCUGAAACACAUGAACACAUAUACAAAACAAAACAACAAUAAAACAUAACAGCCAACACUUUUGACACUUAUAACAACAUGAACAAGCAAGAGACAAAACUCAUUAUAUGUUUAUGUGUUAAGAAUCAGAAUGUAUUGUGUAUUGUUGUCAUUAUUGCCCGUCAGGGGCCCUUAAUUGGAAAAUAAAGAAUUUUGAACUUUUAUAUGUCCCUGAUUUCAUUUAUAUAAUACAUGUACACUCAAGUUUAAUAUUUUAUCUAUAAAAAUUAAAUCUUUUAUGAACACAAAUUGAUACAAUACAAAGGGAAAGGGAUUAUAGGCACUUGUUUCUGACAAUGGGGGUUCACUAUCCAUACUCUUCUUUCACAUAUAUAAAAAAAUAAACCAGUCAUGCUUCAGUCCCUAUAUAAUCAACCAAAUUUUUUCCAACAAGGUCUCAAUAGUCAUGACAGUGGUGGUUCCAUGAUUUUAAUUGAGAAAAACUGGGUUGUGAGUGCCCCCAAAAUGUAUAUAAUUUUAGCUUGUAUUGUACAUGUUAUGAUAUUUAUGUACACUAUAAUAUAAUUGAAUAUAAAAAUGUUAAUGAAAGGAUUGUUAACACUCAAAUCUGCUCCAUGUUAUGAUAUUAAACAUUGUUAUCUAACAUGUUUAACACCACCACAUUAUUUAUGUAUGUGCCUGUCCCAAGUCAGGAGCCUGUAAUUCAGUGGUUGUCGUUUGUUUAUGUGUUACAUAUUUGUUCUUCGUUUUUUCAUAAAUAAGGCCGUUAGUUUUCUCGUUUGAAUUGUUUUACAUUGUCUUAUCGGGGCUCUUUAUAGCUGACUAUGCGGUAUGGGCUUUGCUCAUUGUUGAAGGCUGUACAGUGACCUAUAGUUGUUAAUGUCUGUGUCAUUUUGGUCUUUUGUGGAUAGUUGUCUCAUUGGCAAUCAUACCACAUCUUCUUUUUUUUAUAUUAUACUUAAAAAAUAAAUUUUCAAGACUUGGAAAUAUUUUCUUUGCCCAUUAUUGCCUUUAACUUUUAUGUAUUGAGCAAAAUGCUUGAGGCAUAAUUAUUUAUAAUACUUAGUAAAAACAUGUAUUUUCUUGGUAAUUCAUAUGGCAAAUUUGUAUUAAUGUGUUGAUAAUAACAAUGCAAAGUUUAAUUUUGCUUUGAAUAAUUUAGUAUAUAAUUUAUUUAGUAAUUGUAUGUACAUUUGCUUUAUAUUUACAGGAAGGAGAAAGAUGUUCACUAUGAAUCAAAAAUUCAAUACAUAGGACUUUUAUAUAUCAACAAAAAACACUUGUACAUGUACAUGUGUAUGUGUGAUAUACAUACAACAAGAAAACAGUAAUCAAAUGGAAUGUCAACGACCAGUGUCCAGUAAUGUUGAAAGCAAAAUGAUUUUGAUAGAAAACAAUAGGACUAGAAUAUAUUAAGGGUAAGUAAUCCAAAAGUGUCUGUUUAGGGUAAAAACAGUCAGUUAUUUACAGUGUGCUAUGAUUUCAAUCCCACAAAUAUGAAACAAAAACAUAAUAUACAUGGUAUGCAGACUGUUUUCAUAAGGGAAUAGACUGAAAAUAUCUACAUUUAACAGUCAGACAUAAUUAUAUACUAAAUUAUUCUUUUUUAUAUAUAUUGCCAAUGGAAUAAAUUGAGGAUGGAAAUUAUAAUUAAUGAGAUAUAGGUAAAAGAAUCAUACACAGACUUUAAGGCCGAAUGGUAUUCUUUUAAUAGUUUAAAGAUUUUAUUCUGUUAUCUAUGCUGUAUAAAUGUCAAGAUAGUUAGGGCCCCGCCAAAGGCGGGUCGCCCUAUAGUGAUCAGUCUGUCCGUCCGUCCGUCCGUCCGUCCGUCCGUAACACUUUGUAAUAACUUUGUGUCCGCUCCAUAUCUAGAGAACCAUUAUGAUUUCAUACUUUAUACUUUACAUGUUUAUUAACCACCACCAGAGGGCGUGUCAUGAUGUAUGUACAACUUCCUAGGUCAAAGGUCAAGGUAAAAAAACUUUGGUUUCAGUUGACAACCCUGUGUCCUGUGGUGAAGAUCGUGUCCGCUCUAUAUCUUGAGAACCGUUAUGAUUUCAAAGUUUAUACUUGACAUGUAUAUGAACCAACACCAGAGGGUGUGUCAUAAUUUAUGAACGACUGCCUAGGGCAAAGUUCAAGGUCAAAAACUUUGGUUUCAGUUGACAACCCCAUGUCCUAUGGUAAAGAUUGUGUCCGCUCUAUAUCUUGAGAACCAUUAUCAUUUUAAAGUUUAUACCUGAAAUGUAUAUAAACCAACACCAAAGGGUGUGUCAUAAUUUAUGUGCAACUUCCUAGGUCAAAGGUCAAGGUCAAAAACUUUGGUUUCAGUUGACAACCCCGUGUCCUAUGGUAAAGAUCGUGUCCGCUCUAUAUCUUGAGAACCGUUAUCAUUUCAAAGUUUAUACUUGACAUGUUUUAAACCAACACCAAAGGGUGUGUCAUAAUUUAUUUACAACUUCCUAGGUCAAAGGUCAAGGUCAAAAACUUUGAUUUCAGAUGACAAACCCAUGUCCUAUGGUAAAGAUACAAUUUUUUAAUGCACAUUAUUCACAGCGGGGCCCACAGAGAUGGCUCCCAUCUCAAUGAUAUCUAGUUACAUUUGAUUAAAAAGGAAAGAUUUGGGUAUAAUGUCACAGUCAUUCUGAAAUAAUGAACGUAAUUAGGGUAAUUAUACCCUACUCAACAAACUUGCAAGGUUUUAAUAAAUCUGACCAUUUUUAUACGACCGCAAAAAUUGAAAAUUUUUUGGUCGUAUAUUGGUAUCACGUUGGCAUCGUCGUCCCGAAUACUUUUAGUUUUCGCACUCUAACUUUAGUAAAAGUGAAUAGAAAUCUAUGAAAUUUUAACACAAGGUUUAUGACCACAAAAGGAAGGUUGGGAUUGAUUUUGGAAGUUUUGGUCCCAACAUUUUAGGAAUUAGGGGCCAAAAAGGGCCCAAAUAAGCAUUUUCUUGGUUUUCGCACUAUAACUUUAGUUUAAGUAAAUAGAAAUCUAUGAAAUUUUGACACAAGGUUUAUGACCACAAAAGGAAGGUUGGGAUUGAUUUUGGAGUUUUGGUUCCAACAGUUUAGGAAUUAGGGCCAAAAAAGGGCCCAAAUAAGCAUUAUUCUUGGUUUUCGCACAAUAACUUUAGUAUAAGUAAAUAGAAAUCAAUGAAAUUUAAACACAAGGUUUAUGACCACAAAAGGAAGGUUGGGAUUGAUUUUGGGGAGUUGAGGUCCAACAGUUUAGGAAUUAGGGGCCAAAAAGGGCCCAAAUAAGCAUUUUUCUUGGUUUUCGCACCAUAACUUUAGUAUAAGUAAGUCAAUAGAAAUCUAUGAAAUUUAAACACAAGGUUUAUGACCAUAAAAGGAAGGUUGGGAUUGAUUUUGGGAGUUUUGGUCCAAACAGUUUAGGAAUAAGGGGCCCAAAGGGUCCAAAAUUAAACUUUGUUUGAUUUCAUCAAAAAUUGAAUAAUUGGGGUUCUUUGAUAUGCCGAAUCUAACUGUGUAUGUAGAUUCUUAAAUUUUUGGUCCCUGUUUUCAAAUUGGUCUACAUUAAGGUCCAAAGGGUCCAAAAUUAAACUUAGUUUGAUUUUAACAAAAAUUGAAUCCUUGGACAAGUUGGGGUUCUUUGAUAUGCUGAAUCUAAAAAAAUGUACUUAGAUUUUUGAUUAUUGGCCCAGUUUUCAAGUUGGUCCAAAUCGGGGUCCAAAAUUAAACUUUGUUUGAUUUCAUCAAAAAUUGAAUAAUUGGGGUUCUUUGAUAUGCCAAAUCUAACUGUGUAUGUAGAUUCUUAAUUUUUGGUCCCGUUUUCAAAUUGGUCUACAUUAAAGUCCAAAGGGUCCAAAAUUAAACUAAGUUUGAUUUUAACAAAAAUUGAAUUCUUGGGCUUCUUUGAUAUGCUGAAUCUAAACAUGUACUUAGAUUUUUAUUAUGGGCCCAGUUUUCAAGUUGGUCCAAAUCAGGAUCCAAAAUUAUUAUAUUAAGUAUUGUGCAAUAGCAAGAAAUUUUCAAUUGCACAGUAUUGCGCAAUAGCAAGAAAUCUUCAAUUGCACAGUAUUGUGCAAUAGCAAAUAUUUUCAAUUGCACAGUAUUGCACAAUAGCAAGAAAUAUCUAAUUGCACAAUAUUGUGCAAUAGCAUGAAAUUUUUAAUUGGAGUCUUAUCUUUCUUUUUUCAGAAUAGUAGUUGAAUCAACUUAAAUCAUUGUUUUAUACAAUAUACAAUGUAUAUUCACUUUUACUACCAACUGAUAAAUUAAAACAAUCUUUACCAUUCAGUGAUUACAACAAGCACUUUCUUUACAUUUUAAUAUUUUAUGAUGUAUUUAAAUGAGUAGUUAUUGUUGCAAACUCCAUUAGAAAUUUGAAUUGAGAUCAGUUUUGGAAUAAGGGAAAGGGGGAUGUGAAAAAAAAAUUGGGGAGGGGGGGUAAAUUUUUUUCAUUUCAGAUUUCAUAAAUAAAAAGAAAAUUUCUUCAAACAUUUUUUUGAGAGGAUUAAUAUUCAACAGCAUAGUGAAUUGCUCAAAGGCAAAAAAAAAUUUUAAGUUCAUUAGACCACAUUCAUUCUGUGUCAGAAACCUAUGCUGUGUCAACUAUUUAAUCACAAUCCAAAUUUAGAGCUGAAUCCAGCUUGAAUGUUGUGUCCAUACUUGCCCCAACCGUUCAGGGUUCAACCUCUGCGGUCGUAUAAAGCUGCGCCCUGCGAAGCAUCUGUUUUUUUUAGAUAAGAGAAUGACUUGAGCAGACUGUAUUGAGGUCAUAGAUGGCAAUAACAAUGAAAUACAAUAUAUUAUAAUUAUCAUUGAUUCUUCAUUACUUUUUGAUUGAAUUAACAAACUUAAUUUAAUAACAAAAAAUUUCAUUUUCAGUAGACAACACAUCCUGUCAGAGGAAUAAUUUUACUGGAGGAUAAAAAUUUUGAUACCUGGAAUCAGCAAUUUAUAUGAAAUUUGUUAUGAGAGAUAUAUUCAUGUACAGAAUGGUAUCCGAGGUGGUUCAAGUGAUUAUAAGCGGACUUUUUUGUUGAACUAAUGCAGGAUUUAAUAAAAUGAAAGACUAUGGGCUCCAAAGUUUAGUAACAAGAGGAUUUUUUAAAUAUGUGAGACUCAUCAACAUUAAAAAGUGCAGAAGUGAAAUGUCACCAUAUUUAUUAAAAAAAAUCAGAUUAUUGACUCAGUUGUUUUCAUGAAUAUUUUGUUUUAAGCAAUUUCACUGUUAUAUACUUAAUAAGAUUCCACGUUUAUUUUAUACUUCUGACAACCGAAUAUUAUAUCUUCCCUCUGGCCUCAAGUGUUUCCCUUUUAUUUUGCAUGAGUGUAAUUUAAAAAAGCUCGCUUUUAGUUUUGGGCAAAUUCAAGUUUUGCCAUUCCAGAAUUAUUCGACUUUUUUCCUGGUAAAUUAGACAUGUACCCACAUGUUGUAUUUUGCUUUGGUACUUUUUCAAGAAAUUGUGGAUCAAGGCUGAAUUUUAUCAAAUAAGAUCAUUUUUGGAUAUUUAUCACAUAUCACAUACUUGAAUAAUCUUUAAAAUUGAGAAUAUAGAUGGGCAAUGUGUCAAAGAG